This 531-nucleotide ribosomal RNA is filed under the name Hansenula ciferrii. Its description in RNAcentral is "eukaryotic LSU rRNA". It matches the Rfam family "Eukaryotic large subunit ribosomal RNA", at positions 100 to 650 of the family's 3401-position model. Lineage: Eukaryota; Fungi; Ascomycota; Saccharomycetes; Phaffomycetales; Wickerhamomycetaceae. The record is from RNAcentral.
GGCAAAAGCUCAAAUUUGAAAUCUAGCACCUUCGGUGUUCGAGUUGUAAUUUGAAGAUGGUAACCUUGGGUUUGGCUCUUGUCUAUGUUCCUUGGAACAGGACGUCAUAGAGGGUGAGAAUCCCGUCUGAUGAGAUGCCCAUUCCUUUGUAAGGUACUAUCGAAGAGUCGAGUUGUUUGGGAAUGCAGCUCUAAGUGGGUGGUAAAUUCCAUCUAAAGCUAAAUAUUGGCGAGAGACCGAUAGCGAACAAGUACAGUGAUGGAAAGAUGAAAAGAACUUUGAAAAGAGAGUGAAAAAGUACGUGAAAUUGUUGAAAGGGAAGGGCAUUAGAUCAGACUUGGUGUUUUACGAUUAUCUUCUCUUCUUGAGUUGUGCACUCGUAUUUCACUGGGCCAGCAUCGAUUCGGAUGGUAAGAUAAUAGCAGUUAAAUGUGGCUCUUCGGAGUGUUAUAGUUUCUGUUGAUAUUGCCUGUCUGGAUCGAGGGCUGCGUCUUUUGACUAGGAUGCUGGCGUAAUGAUCUAAUGCCGCCC